GCCGGCAGCCAUAUCACCCCGCAGCCCAAGACUGGUCGCCCACUGGAACUAAGCAGGGUUGAGCCUGGUCAGUACCUGGAUGGGAGACCUCCUGGGAAAACUUCGCUUUGAGUGCU
RNAcentral lists this ribosomal RNA (116 nucleotides) under Sinocyclocheilus grahami. Lineage: Eukaryota; Metazoa; Chordata; Actinopteri; Cypriniformes; Cyprinidae. The record is from RNAcentral.